GGUUAAGUGACUAAGCGUACACGGUGGAUGCCUGGGCAGUCAGAGGCGAUGAAGGACGUACUAACUUGCGAUAAGCGCAGAUAAGGCAGUAAGAGCCGUUUGAGUCUGCGAUUUCCGAAUGGGGAAACCCAACUGCAUAAGCAGUUACUGUUAACUGAAUCCAUAGGUUAACAGAGCAAACCGGGGGAACUGAAACAUCUAAGUACCCCGAGGAGAAGAAAUCAACCGAGAUUCCGGUAGUAGCGGCGAGCGAACCUGGAUUAGCCCUUAAGCACUCGGUGAAGUAGGUGAACAAGCUGGAAAGCUUGGCGAUACAGGGUGAUAGCCCCGUAACCGACGCUUCAUCGAGCGUGAAAUCGAGUAGGGCGGGACACGUGAUAUCCUGUCUGAAUAUGGGGGGACCAUCCUCCAAGGCUAAAUACUCCUGACUGACCGAUAGUGAACCAGUACCGUGAGGGAAAGGCGAAAAGAACCCCUGUGAGGGGAGUGAAAUAGAACCUGAAACCGUGUACGUACAAGCAGUAGGAGCACCUUCGUGGUGUGACUGCGUACCUUUUGUAUAAUGGGUCAGCGACUUAUAUUCAGUGGCAAGGUUAACCGUAUAGGGGAGCCGUAGCGAAAGCGAGUCUUAACUGGGCGUUCAGUCUCUGGAUAUAGACCCGAAACCGGGUGAUCUAGCCAUGGGCAGGUUGAAGGUUGAGUAACAUCAACUGGAGGACCGAACCGACUAAUGUUGAAAAAUUAGCGGAUGACUUGUGGCUAGGGGUGAAAGGCCAAUCAAACUCGGAGAUAGCUGGUUCUCCCCGAAAGCUAUUUAGGUAGCGCCUCGGACGAAUACUACUGGGGGUAGAGCACUGUUAAGGCUAGGGGGUCAUCCCGACUUACCAACCCUUUGCAAACUCCGAAUACCAGUAAGUACUAUCCGGGAGACACACGGCGGGUGCUAACGUCCGUCGUGGAGAGGGAAACAACCCAGACCGCCAGCUAAGGUCCCAAAGUAUUGCUAAGUGGGAAACGAUGUGGGAAGGCUCAGACAGCUAGGAUGUUGGCUUAGAAGCAGCCAUCAUUUAAAGAAAGCGUAAUAGCUCACUAGUCGAGUCGGCCUGCGCGGAAGAUGUAACGGGGCUAAGCAAUACACCGAAGCUGCGGCAAUGUCCUUUGGGCAUUGGGUAGGGGAGCGUUCUGUAAGCCGUUGAAGGUGAAUCGUAAGGUUUGCUGGAGGUAUCAGAAGUGCGAAUGCUGACAUGAGUAACGACAAGGGGGGUGAAAAACCUCCCCGCCGGAAGACCAAGGGUUCCUGUCCAACGUUAAUCGGGGCAGGGUGAGUCGACCCCUAAGGCGAGGCUGAAAAGCGUAGUCGAUGGGAAACGGGUUA
Molecule: ribosomal RNA, 1375 nt
Filed under: Vibrio sp. RC586
Lineage: Bacteria; Pseudomonadati; Pseudomonadota; Gammaproteobacteria; Vibrionales; Vibrionaceae
Description: bacterial LSU rRNA
Rfam family: Bacterial large subunit ribosomal RNA
Source: RNAcentral